This is a long non-coding RNA of Scylla paramamosain (green mud crab), 3848 nucleotides long. RefSeq lists it as uncharacterized. The record is from RefSeq and is a predicted model, not a curated record. NCBI's taxonomy places the organism in Eukaryota, Metazoa, Arthropoda, Malacostraca, Decapoda, Portunidae. The transcript has 5 exons.
GAAUGCAAAGCCGAUCUGGACAAUAGUAGAUAUGGAGAUGAGACAGUACAAGCAUACCGCUUUUCCUGUGUGUCACAACUAGGCACACACACACACACACACACACACACACACACACACACACACACACACACACACACACACACACACACACACACAUUAACAUUGCAUUUCAACUUUACUAAUUUUUACUCCCCCGUAAAACAUUCUUCUUUCUUUUUCCCUUCUAAGCUUUUCCUUCCUCUCAAAACUGCAUUUCACGUGCUUACCUAACAAACACAUCCUGUAACACCCUAUAUCACUCGUUCUUUUUACCACAAAACACCCUAAAAUACCAUAAUUUUUCUCUCCUUUUUUAUUUAUUUAUUUAUUUUUCCUCUGUAACCUGCAUUUCACCUUCCUACCUAGUAAACACCCUGUCAGUUUCCUCAGGGUGCGUCAGAUUCCCUUGGCCAGACAGAAAUUAAUGCUGGCCUCUAAUGCACCUCAACACAGCGGCAAGUUUGAGAGGAAGGACAAGAGGUUCACACUAACUAUAGACCAAACUACAGCCUUUGCAGAAUAUUGGGUUACUAUCAAGAAGCCAUGUUAUUAGGUAUAGUGUGUGUGUGUGUGUGUGUGUGUGUGUGUGUGUGUGUGUGUGUGUGUGUGUGUGUGUUUUAGUUCCUUAUCCCUUUCUUUUACUCCUGUCAUCACCUUUUGUUGAUUCUACUUUUAUGUUUCUUAAUUUUCUUUUUCUAUGUCUCCUAAAAAGUGCACUUUACAAUGUGUAAUCAAGUGUGCGGCACCAGGUCAGACAGGUGAGGAUGUGAAGACAUGGUAACACUGCUGCUGACUGAUGUUUCCUUUUAUUCACUCGCUCAUUGCUCUACAUAUCCCCUUUUUGUUUUGAAAUGUGUAACAAUCUUGUAUUUCAAACAAUACCUUCACUUGAACAUAAGGUAUUAGGUUAUUUGCGUACAUAUUACUUGGUAUCUUACAGUUUUGUGUGAAAUAAAAUAAAUUUGUCUAGUGUUCUACAGUGAGACAGGAGGACACAGACCAAUCAGUGAGUGGGCGUCAGUGAAUGUUGCUUCCUUUGUCCUCACCUGCCUGAACUACUACUGCCUUGCCCUCGAUGGCACACACCGCACUGGAGUGACUGCUUCUUGCGUCCCUCCUCCGCCGAGUGACACACGUGGCCAGGGUGCCAAGUUGGAUUCAAACCUUUAUUCCAGCUCACACUAGCAAAUAUAAAAAUGAAAUAUGUUUAUAGCAUUUUUCUCUUCAGAGUAAGAUGUUCCCUCUUGCCUGAGAAUGUUACAAAGGUCGUGUGUCACUCUCAGGUGUGCCGGCCACUUCCAUCACCUUUUCAUUGAAUAACUAUUUACAAUAUCUGGCGUGGAGGUGAUGUAAUGUAUUCUACUAGGUAUUAUAAAAAGAAUGUUUAUUAUAUUGUAGUUAUUGAACAUUGAAUGGCUCUUAAGGGAUAAAUAAAGACUGUUGUGUCGUGGUAUUUAUUGCCAAGCCUGGAGUGGCGCGUGAGGAUCACACACGCAGUGAAUGAGGCCAGAGUGUUCCAGAAGUGGUGUGGGUGGUGACCCUUUCCACCGCCCCCUUCAUGAGUGGCUCCCUCACCCAUGUCUUGUGCCCCACACACGCCAGUUGGCCGUUCAUUGUGUGGAUUCAAAAAUGCAACUAACAACACCUCUAAGUAACAUUACACAUACCAUUCAACUCAUAAUGAACGCAAAAAUAUAGACAAUUGCCCACACAAAAUUUCAAAAGGACGUUCUUUAGUAAUGGAAUGUGCUACAAUUCAUCUUUCUCCACAUAAGGGCCUGUCCUGUACUCCUGUGGAACCUCCUCCUCCUUGGUGGCCUUCCUGUAGAAACCUUUCUUGGUCACCAGCUGGUUGAUCUCCUCCUGUGACAUCUUCCUGAGGUCGAUGCGCUGCAACUCCUCAGUGUACUUGUUGAGCAGCACCAGCUCUGGAGUUGCUCCCUGAACGUGCUUGAACAUCACGUUGUGGCUGUCACCUUGUCAAGGGGAAAUGUUGCUUGGGAUGUUAGUGCACUACUGAAACUUUGGUCUGCCUCGCAUGGCUUGCUCAGUGUGACAUUGUGUCAUCGGAAAACGAUGUGUUGUACUUGGAAUGACGUUAUUGAUAAAUGCAAUGGCUUUAAAGAACUCAGUGUCAGGAAUAUUGAUGUUCAUAGUGUUAAACCUACAGUUCUACAAUUCCGGGACAGGACAAAGGCCGCUUCAAAGUCUUUCCUGGCAAGUAGUGGUAACAAAAGGAUACAAGAGUGGCAGAUCCUGGAGGACGAAGCUCUUCACCCCAGGAUACUUGCUCAGGUUGUUUCAGAAGUUACACGUCUGCGGAGAAGAGCAAACAUCUGAAGCGAAGCAUGAUGGCGCGAGCAUUGGUCUUGGCAGCUCUCUUCCAAGGGGUCUUGGUCUUGGCGGCGAGCGACGCGGUGACGGAUACAGGUGUCUACAAGGCAGCUGUAAAGACCUUCGCCGGAUGAGUGCUGAACAGAUAUCCAGAGGUGAAGCAGUUCGUCAUCCUGGAUAUGAAGUUCUAUCAUAACGUGGAGUGGCAGCAGGAAGAUGACGCGGAGCCUGAGCUGCUGCUACUCAACAAGGACGGCGAGGUGGUGCAGCGCUUUGACAUCCGGCAAAUGAAGCGCGGGGAGAUCGGUCAGCUGCUGCGCAAGAAGGGGUUUUUCAAGAAGGGGAAGGAGGACAUGGAGAUCCCGAAUAAGUACAAGACAGGUCCCUACGUGGAGAAGGAUGAACUGUAAACAAUGUAUCAUUAAUCAACUCCCUUCAGGAACUUUGUAGAAACAGUUAUUUAUAUUUUCACAUUCAAAAUUUUAGAGCUGAGGUGAAUCUGCAACGGUACUUAGAGAUGUUGUUAGUUACAUUUUAGAAGCCACGUGGAGAAGGAUGAACUGUAAACAUUGGGUCCCUAAACAACACCCCUCUGAGAUUGUUUGUGGACAAUCAAUAUUUUUGCAUUCGUUAUCUGAGAAAUGAAUGGUAUGUAAAUGUUGUAUAUCUAGCUGUCUUCUACCGCUAUUUUCAUACUAACUGCUCUUCUGAUCUUGCUAACUGCAUGCCUCCCCUCCUUCCGCGGCCUCGCUGCACAAGACUUUCUUCUUUCUCUCAACCCUAUUCUGUCCACCUCUCUAACGCAAGAGUUAACCAGUAUUCUCAAUCAUUCAUCCCUUUCUCUGGUAAACUCUGGAACUCCCUGCCUGCUUCUGUAUUUCCACCUUCUUAUGACUUGAAUUCCUUAAAGAGGGAGGUUUCAAGACACUUAUUCAUCAAUUUUUGACCACUGCUUUGACCCUUUUAUGGGACUGGCAUUUCAGUGGGCAUAUUUUUUUAUUGGAUUUUUGUUGCCCUUGGCCAGUGUCCUUCCUACAUUAAAAAAAAAAAAAAAAUGUUACUUAAAGGUGUUGUUGGUUACGUUUUUUGAAGCCAUAAAAUGAACAGCCAACCUGGCGUGUGUGGGGCACAAGGCAUGGGUGAGGGAGCCACUCAUGAAGGGGGCGGUGGAAAGGGUCAUCACCCACACCACUUCUGGAACACUCUGGCCUCAUUCACUGCGUGUGUGUGUUCCUCACGCGUCACUCCAGGCUUUGCAAUAAAUACCGUGACACAACAGUCUUUAUUUAUUCCUUAAGGUCCUUUCGGUGUCCAGUAUUAAUGCAUUACGUGACGGCGUCGUAAUUCAGCCAAUAUCUCUAUUUCCAUAAGUUACACUGCACUGGACCAGAGGGGGUAGAACUCGUGGCUGGAGAGGCUAAGUCAGUAUCACGCCCCACCAACCUAAGGUUUAAUAAAAGUGAUAACCAGCA